Molecule: ribosomal RNA, 226 nt
Filed under: uncultured bacterium
Lineage: Bacteria
Description: partial 16S ribosomal RNA
Rfam family: Bacterial small subunit ribosomal RNA
Source: RNAcentral
CAUCGGAACGUAUCCCGUAGUGGGGGAUAACCCGGCGAAAGCCGGGCUAAUACCGCAUAUGCUCUACGGAGGAAAGCGGGGACCCGGCAGGCAACUGAGGGGCCUCGUGCUAUGGGAGCGGCCGAUGUCCGAUUAGCUAGUUGGUGGGGUAAAGGCUUACCAAGGCUUCGAUCGGUAGCUGGUCUGAGAGGAUGAUCAGCCACACUGGGACUGAGACACGGCCCAG